Molecule: ribosomal RNA, 254 nt
Filed under: uncultured bacterium
Lineage: Bacteria
Description: partial 16S ribosomal RNA
Rfam family: Bacterial small subunit ribosomal RNA
Source: RNAcentral
UACGGGGGGAGCAAGCGUUGUUCGGAUUUACUGGGCGUAAAGGGCGCGUAGGCGGCCUCUGCAAGUCGACUGUGAAAUCUCCGGGCUUAACCCGGAAAGGUCAGCCGAUACUGCAGGGCUAGAGUGCAGAAGGGGCAACUGGAAUUCUCGGUGUAGCGGUGAAAUGCGUAGAUAUCGAGAGGAACACCUGCGGCGAAGGCGUGUUGCUGGGCUGACACUGACGCUGAGGCGCGAAAGCUAGGGGAGCGAACGGG